This is a long non-coding RNA of Rattus norvegicus (Norway rat), 1558 nucleotides long. RefSeq lists it as uncharacterized. The record is from RefSeq and is a predicted model, not a curated record. Lineage: Eukaryota; Metazoa; Chordata; Mammalia; Rodentia; Muridae.
GGUUUCUAUUUUAUAUAUUCUGCUCUACCUGCUGCUCGGGGAAAGCCCUUGAGACAGGCUUUGUGGCCUUUGGACAGCCCCUCAAGGUCAGUGUCAGUCCACUGGAGCUGCUGUAAUAAACAAACUAGGUUGCAUUUCGACAACAGGAGUCUAUUCCUCACAGCCCUGGGGAAGAACGUCCAGUACCAAGAGAUUCGUUGUCAACUACUCUUAAAGGCUGGGCCUCACCCAAGAGCUUUGUAACUGGCCAAAGUCCCAAUCCUCUCAGAGGGUUCUUCUGACACUUGCUCGGAAUUUCCAAAAUUGCAGCCUUCUACAAGCCUUCCAAGCAGGCUCCAUGAACUAACUCUCCUUGACCAUUGAACUGCGCACUUGGGCACAAUGUAUAGAGGCUCUCCAUGGCUUUCGUAGCCUCACAUCCUAUGGCCUGCAACCCUAUAGAACCAGAACCUCCUCGAGAGCAGGGACAGAAUGAGUCCAGCUCAUUUCUAUCACCAGAUCCCAGUGUCCAGCCUGGCACCGUGAUCAUUCAACCAGCUUCUGGUUCAGUUAUUUUCUAGCUUCCUGACUAGAAUACAGAGAGCCUUUUGCCAUACUUGCUCAGCUCCCCGGAGUGCAGAAGAGUACCUGGCCCCCCGUAUGCGCCUAACAGACAUUUGCAGGGCGCAUGGAUGAAUGGAUUGAAUCACAACACAGUAGCGGAAGUGUGAUCUGGGAGCUAUGAGUAUAUCAUUCCAGACGCCAUUUAUUUGAGAAGAAUGCUGGCAGAAACUUAGCUGAAGAGGAGAAAAUGAAGCUGGGCCCUGAAGGAUAACUCAACGAAGAAGUCAGGGCUGAUGGGGACAGAUGUCAGGCAAGAGAGGCAGGGCCAUGUUGAGAUAAACAGACCCAACAGGGAAGGGACGAUUCGAUUUGAGGCAGUGCACCAUGGGAGAUGAAUCUAGACAGGUGGCUUAAAGCUAUGUAAAGGGUCCAAGAUACUGUCAUGAUGGUUAGGAUUUUGUUGGAAGGCUGCUGCAGGCUUUUAUAGACAGAGCAUCAGAUCUCCCCUAGAGAAACUGUGUGGUGGAUACAUAGUCUGUGGCAGGAGAGGACGAAACUGAGGAUCCUGCUAUUGCCGAGAUGGUAAGAGAUAGGUGUGGGGGAGUCUAGAGUCUCAUUGUAUCAUCUUGGGCAUCGCACAGUGGAGAUGUUCUGUGCAUCUAGUGAGCAGAGGCAUGGACGUGCACAGGAUAGUGCCCCCAACCCUGAGAAACACCCAGCCCAGUGCUAACCAUACCAAGCCUAGCGCCCUUACAAGAAUGACUAGCAGACUGGAGAUAGGCACAGGAAGUGAAUUUCUGCCUUGCUGCUGCUGAGACAGCAAUUCCACAGUGCUACAAAUUUGGAAUCAGGGUUGCAAGUUCAAGGGAGGCCUGGGACCCUUAGCAAGGCAUUGUCUCAAAGUGAAAAACAGAAGGGCUUGAGAUUAAGCUAAAUAUUUACUUAGCCUGCCUGUGUGAAACUCCAGGUUUAACUCUGAACACCAAAUAAAUAAAGUAAAACACAGAAUCUAAAA